This 497-nucleotide ribosomal RNA is filed under the name uncultured bacterium. RNAcentral describes it as "partial 16S ribosomal RNA". It matches the Rfam family "Bacterial small subunit ribosomal RNA", at positions 28 to 507 of the family's 1533-position model. The record is from RNAcentral.
GAUGAACGCUGGCGGCGUGCCUAAUACAUGCAAGUCGAGCGAACAGAUAAGGAGCUUGCUCCUUUGACGUUAGCGGCGGACGGGUGAGUAACACGUGGGUAACCUACCUAUAAGACUGGAGUAACUCCGGGAAACCGGGGCUAAUGCCGGAUAACAUUUAGAACCGCAUGGUUCUAAAGUGAAAGAUGGUUUUGCUAUCACUUAUAGAUGGACCCGCGCCGUAUUAGCUAGUUGGUAAGGUAACGGCUUACCAAGGCAACGAUACGUAGCCGACCUGAGAGGGUGAUCGGCCACACUGGAACUGAGACACGGUCCAGACUCCUACGGGAGGCAGCAGUAGGGAAUCUUCCGCAAUGGGCGAAAGCCUGACGGAGCAACGCCGCGUGAGUGAUGAAGGUCUUCGGAUCGUAAAACUCUGUUAUUAGGGAAGAACAAAUGUGUAAGUAACUGUGCACGUCUUGACGGUACCUAAUCAGAAAGCCACGGCUAACUACGUG